This 221-nucleotide long non-coding RNA is filed under the name Actinidia chinensis (golden kiwifruit). RNAcentral's name for it is "long non-coding RNA (ACHI_LNC004776)". The record is from RNAcentral. Lineage: Eukaryota; Viridiplantae; Streptophyta; Magnoliopsida; Ericales; Actinidiaceae.
UAAUUGAUGUUGGGCUUAUGGUGAUGGCUUACAAGUGACUUGUGGUUUUAUUUGGGCUAUUGAAUAUGGGCCGUUAUAAUUGUUAUUGGGCUUGUAGUUGGGAUUGUGUGAAAUGGGUUUUAAACUAGAAAUUUAAAACAAGGCCUAAGGGCCUAAAUUGUAAUUAUUUCUCCAAGGGCCUUAAGCGUAAUUUUUUGAAGGGAAUAACGCGUAAAAUUCCC